CUGAAGGGCAAACUUCAGAUUGAUGUGGAUGUCGACGGUUACACUGACCCGAACAAUCUAUACUUCGAUAGCGUUAUGAUCUAUGGUGUAAAUCAUUACGUUGACGGUGACGUCACAAUAGAACCUGCUGAUGGGUCGCCAUCGUACAAUGCUGCAAAUGUAGAAUUCACCGCCGAAACGAACGUUCUCCACAUCCGGGAUCUUCAUCUUGAUAUGACGGAGUCCUUCACAAUUCAAUGGGAUGUACAAGCAUGAUAUGUAUAUUUACUCACAACAAAGUAUAUACACAACAUAGCAUGUAGGCCUACACACAAUCUAGGACUUUUCUGGACGCAGAAAAUGUAUCAAGGGGGAGGGGAAAGUGGGGGGGGGGGGGGUUAGCAUUUAAUUUGAAUCUGAAUUUACAAUGAAUAUGCCAAUGGGAUUAAGAUGAGGAAAAGGCAAAAUGAGACCCAAAAAACAUAAGGUUAUCAUCACACUUUGCAAACACGCCCUCUACAUUCAUUAAUUAUCUUAUGAUAAUGGGAAAAGGGAGAUAGAGUUUGUGAGAGGGGGUGACGAUAUAGCAACGGCGAAGAAAAAAAGCAUUUUAAACAAGUUUCAUCAAAAUUUGUUAUGAAAUAAGCAAGUUAUGGACGUUUAGAAAGUCUUGUUUUACUUUCUAUGGGGAUUCUCAAAUUGGCAAUCAUGCUUUAAAAUAGCUGAUUUUGUGGCAACUCUCCAUUUGUUUUUUUACACAAUUUUUCAGAUAUUCCCCUAUAAUCUUUAAAAUUGCAUAUUGCCUCAUUCUGCGAAAAUACUUACGUCAUGGGAAAAUAUAGUUCACACCACAUAUGCCAAGGCCAGGAGGAAAUGAUGUGAAACCUGUAAAAUAAAGGGGAAAAUCUGAAAAUAUGUGUCCAAAACAAACGAAGGGUUGUCCAAAAAAAAAAAUCUGCAUUUUUGAAGCAUGUUUGACAAUUUAAGGAUCCCCAUAGAAAGUACAACAAGACUUUUCAAACUUCCAUAACUCGCUUAUUCUAUAAUCGAUUUUGAUCAAACUUUUUUUAAAAUGUUCCUCUCAUUUUACUCUUUCCAAUAAGGUUGCUUCUCUUCUUGGGUUUUGGUUUCCUUUAAAGAGGGAAUGAACACUAUGUAGUUUCUCAUUGGCUGUGUGUUCUUAAUAGCGAGUCUUAAAAUAUACCUUGUUGAAAUAAAUAGUAAUAACACAAAAGAAUCGAUUAGUCUAUAUUUUUUCCAGAGAAGCUAAAAUGUUUUGGGAGGAAAAGUACUAAUUUUGCUACAUUGUAACAUAAUUAGCGUAGUAUGAAUGUUUUAGCAGUGAAUUAGUGUAUUAUCAUUUAUGUGGGUCUAUAUUACAAGACUACACCGCUCCGAAUGUUGCAUUAUGGGUAAUGAACCUGUCCAGAUAUGAGUAGUUCAUGACUUAAGGUGGGGCUGUUAAGCUUUAGGCUGCUGGUUCGUUUGCCCUUUAAAGAAAACGCUUUAACAAAUAGUGGUAAUUUUGACACUUGUGAUCUUUUCACGUAUUAUUUUAUCACAUCACAUUUUUAUUUUCAUUUCUUUCUUUCUCCUUUUCCUUCAUAUUUUUUUUAAUCGUUUUUGGUCUCUAUGCCUCAUUUCCCCUCCUAUGAUACGCAACUUGCGUGUAGUAGAAGAUUCAAUAACUCUGAAAUAUCAUGUUUAUUCUCACUGCGAAAUAUUAUGAAAUGUUGUUAUUGUCCAUACUGAGCUGGCUAUCGACUUGAUAACUAUUAAACUGA
This is a long non-coding RNA of Lytechinus variegatus (green sea urchin), 1763 nucleotides long. RefSeq lists it as uncharacterized. The record is from RefSeq and is a predicted model, not a curated record. Lineage: Eukaryota; Metazoa; Echinodermata; Echinoidea; Temnopleuroida; Toxopneustidae. The transcript is spliced from 2 exons.